This 258-nucleotide ribosomal RNA is filed under the name uncultured bacterium. RNAcentral's name for it is "partial 16S ribosomal RNA". It matches the Rfam family "Bacterial small subunit ribosomal RNA", at positions 793 to 1055 of the family's 1533-position model. The record is from RNAcentral.
GUCCACGCCGUAAACGAUGGAUACUAGCUGUUGGGAGCAAUUUCAGUGGCUAAGCGAAAGUGAUAAGUAUCCCACCUGGGGAGUACGUUCGCAAGAAUGAAACUCAAAGGAAUUGACGGGGGCCCGCACAAGCGGUGGAGCAUGUGGUUUAAUUCGAUGAUACGCGAGGAACCUUACCAAGGCUUAAAUGUAGAUUGACCGGUUUUGGAAACAGACUUUUUCGCAAGACAAUUUUACAAGGUGCUGCAUGGUUGUCGU